UGGAGUUUCCGGGUGCGCAGACCCUUGCCAUCAGCAGAGGCUGCCGCUGCGCGUCCCCUAGGCGCGGAAGAGGCGGCUGGUGGUCCCUGACGGCAAGGUUUUAUACAUUACGAAUAAAGCUGGCACGUUUCCAUUUCUCCUGGGCAAAUAUUUAGAAGAAAAGUUGCUGGGUAAUUGAAGCACUGAGACCACAGAGGCAAGAGCUGGGGAAGGAAAACUGCCCAUGAGAUGAGAUGUGCCUCUCAGCUUCCAAAAUCGGGGAGGUAAGAGGGAUUCUGGACAAAAUGAAACCCUGCACCCACAAGGAGUCCAGCAGACAGAUGUAGACACCAAGCAGACAUCCUCAUAAUCUAAAAGUAGGGUCCAGACAGCAAGUUUCUGGCCCAUCCCACACUCUGCUAAUGCUGACCUGGACCUAAAAUUAAGCCACUCAACCCUAUCUUGAGAUAACAGAGGGAGAAAAUGCUCCCUCCAUUUUACUUUCUAGGGUUGCAAAGGGAUGACACCAUCCACACCAGAACUGCAUGAAUGGCAUCAGGAAUGAUCAGAGACCAUAAAUUCCAGUGAGACCAAUAACACCAUUUCUGGUCCUGCAUGCUCUUCCAAACUUUGCCACUAACCCCUUCAAGAGGUACAGUCUAUUUCCCUUUCUCUUGAAAUUGGGUAGGCCUUUGGGACUCCCUUGAUAAACAGAAUACAACAGAAAUGACACUGUGUAUCUAACAAGGCUAGGUUAGAAAAGGCAACAGAACUUCAUCCUAAUCUCUCUCAAGAUGCCCCCCAUGGAAUCCAGCCAUCAUGCUGUGAGGAAUCCAAGCAGCUACAUAGAAAGGCCACAACUAGAUAUUCCAGCUGUAGUCAGCUGAAGCUCCAGCCAACAGCCAACAUCAACCACCACACGUGAAAACGAGCAAGCCUUCAGAUGAUUCCGACUCCCAACCUCCAAGCCACCUCAGCUGAAGCCAAGUAGAGCAGAGACUAGCUGUCCCCCAA
RNAcentral lists this long non-coding RNA (993 nucleotides) under Homo sapiens (human). Its description in RNAcentral is "HSALNT0259220". Lineage: Eukaryota; Metazoa; Chordata; Mammalia; Primates; Hominidae. The record is from RNAcentral.